UAAGGAAUAUUGGUCAAUGGACGCAAGCCUGAACCAGCCAUGCCGCGUGGAGGAUGAAGGUCCUCUGGAUUGUAAACUUCUUUUAUCUGGGAAGAAAUCCAUUUUUUCUAAGAUGGUUGACGGUACCAGACGAAUAAGCACCGGCUAACUCCGUGCCAGCAGCCGCGGUAAUACGGAGGGUGCAAGCGUUAUCCGGAUUCACUGGGUUUAAAGGUGCGUAGGUGGGCAGUUAAGUCAGUGGUGAAAUCUCCGGGCUUAACCCGGAAACUGCCAUUGAUACUAUCUGUCUUGAAUGCCGUGGAGGUAAGCGGAAUAUGUCAUGUAGCGGUGAAAUGCUUAGAUAUGACAUAGAACACCAAUUGCGAAGGCAGCUUACUACACGAAUAUUGACACUGAGGCACGAAAGCGUGGGGAUCAAACAGGAUUAGAUACCCUGGUAGUCCACGCCCUAAACGAUGGAUACUCGACAUACGCGAUACACAGUG
RNAcentral lists this ribosomal RNA (485 nucleotides) under uncultured Bacteroidota bacterium. Its description in RNAcentral is "bacterial SSU rRNA". It matches the Rfam family "Bacterial small subunit ribosomal RNA", at positions 355 to 838 of the family's 1533-position model. The record is from RNAcentral. Lineage: Bacteria; Pseudomonadati; Bacteroidota.